Mesocricetus auratus (golden hamster) is the source of this 162-nucleotide small nuclear RNA. Its record names the gene U1. It matches the Rfam family "U1 spliceosomal RNA". From Rfam's summary of the family: U1 is a small nuclear RNA (snRNA) component of the spliceosome (involved in pre-mRNA splicing). Its 5' end forms complementary base pairs with the 5' splice junction, thus defining the 5' donor site of an intron. The record is from Ensembl. NCBI's taxonomy places the organism in Eukaryota, Metazoa, Chordata, Mammalia, Rodentia, Cricetidae.
CCGGUAACCUGGGGAGAUACCUUGAUCACAAAGGUGCUUUUCCCAGGGCUAGACUUAUCCAUUGCUCUCCAGAUGUGCUGACCCCUUCAGUUUCCCCAAAUGUGGGAAACUCAACUGCAUAAUUUGUGGUAGUGGGGAACUGCAUGUUCGUGCUGUCUCCUA